GCCUCGUUAGCUCAGUCUGGCCAGAGCUACCGGCUUUUACCCGGAGUGUCGGGGGUUCGACUCCCUCACGGGGCA
This 75-nucleotide transfer RNA is filed under the name Pseudonocardiales bacterium. RNAcentral describes it as "tRNA-Lys". It matches the Rfam family "tRNA". Rfam says of the family: Transfer RNA (tRNA) molecules are approximately 80 nucleotides in length. Lineage: Bacteria; Bacillati; Actinomycetota; Actinomycetes; Pseudonocardiales. The record is from RNAcentral.